Molecule: ribosomal RNA, 1249 nt
Filed under: Holocentricola exilis
Lineage: Eukaryota; Metazoa; Platyhelminthes; Trematoda; Strigeidida; Aporocotylidae
Description: partial large subunit ribosomal RNA
Rfam family: Eukaryotic large subunit ribosomal RNA
Source: RNAcentral
UUAAGCAUAUCACUAAGCGGAGGAAAAGAAACUAACCAGGAUUCCCUUAGUAACGGCGAGUGAACAGGGAUUAGCCCAGCACCGAAGCCUGUGAUUGUUUGAUUACUAGGCAAUGUGGUGUUUAGAUUGGCUUUAAGCAUUUUUGCUUCAUUCUAAGUCCAUUAAUGAGUGCGGCUUGUACACUGUCCCAUGGAGGGUGAAAGGCCCGUUAGAAUGAAGUCGAAGUGUUUUAAGUUAAUCUUGGAGUCGGGUUGUUUGUGAAUGCAGCCCAAAGUGGGUGGUAGACUCCAUCUAAGGCUAAAUACUGGCACGAGUCCGAUAGCAAACAAGUACCGUGAGGGAAAGUUGAAAAGUACUUUGAAGAGAGAGUAAACAGUGCGUGAAACCGCUCAGAGGUAAACGGGUGGAGUUGAACUGGAAUCCUUGGCAAUUUAGCUGAUGAGUUGUGGCUGUUAAACAGGGUUUGUUUAAUUGCAAACCUAGACUUUAAAGUAUGGGUGCAUGUAACACUGGUCAAGUGUUAUGGGCCUUGUUUAUAUUAAGCUGCCUCGUCAGUGCAUUUUGUCAGGGUGAUCACCACGACCGGCGUAGUUUCCUGUUUGCUGUGGUUAAAUCGGCUUGGCAUAGUUGUAAUGGCUAUGUUUAGUCGAGAUAGCAGGUAGCUUGCUUGUUUAUUUGGAAACAGGUAGGUGUUAAAUAGCUGACCACAGUAGAUUGUGCAUUAUGUCGGAGAUAACGGCUGGAGUGGACUUUGUUUAACUAAUUUAAUUAAACUUGAUUAGCGCGAACUUGCUUGCGUGAGUCCGUUAGUAGCUUAACUAAGUUAGUUAAAUAGUUGUCUUGCUUUUGAUUGGCCUAUAGUCUGUGGUGUAGUGGUAGACUAUCCACCCGACCCGUCUUGAAACACGGACCAAGGAGUUUAACAUGUACGCGAGUCAAUGGGCGUUACGAAACCCAAAGGCGCAAUGAAAGUAAAGGUUCGGCUUGUUCGGACUAAGGUAAGAUCUUGCGUUACUAGCGCAAGCGCAUUACCAGCCCGUCUUAUGGUGUAGUUAUAAGGUUUUGGCCUUGUACGUCAUUGGGGCGGAGCUAGAGCGUACAUGUUGAGACCCGAAAGAUGGUGAACUAUGCUUGCGUAGGUUGAAGCCAGAGGAAACUCUGGUGGAGGACCGUAGCGAUUCUGACGUGCAAAUCGAUUGUCAAACGUGAGUAUAGGGGCGAAAGACUAAUCGAACCAUCUAGUAGCUGG